Molecule: small nuclear RNA, 164 nt
Organism: Eptesicus fuscus (big brown bat)
Lineage: Eukaryota; Metazoa; Chordata; Mammalia; Chiroptera; Vespertilionidae
Product: U1 spliceosomal RNA
Exons: 1
Source: RefSeq, a predicted model, not a curated record
GUACUUACCUGGCAGGGGAGAUACCAUGAUCACAAAGGCGGUUUUCCCAGGGCGAGGCUCACCCAUUGCACUCUGGGUGUGCUGACCCCUGCAGUUUCUCAAGUGUGGGAAACGCAACUGCAUAAUUUGUGUGUUGUGUGGGACUGCUUUUCUGCUCUCCUUCA